RNAcentral lists this ribosomal RNA (413 nucleotides) under uncultured bacterium. RNAcentral's name for it is "bacterial SSU rRNA". It matches the Rfam family "Bacterial small subunit ribosomal RNA", at positions 505 to 916 of the family's 1533-position model. The record is from RNAcentral.
GUGUCAGCAGCCGCGGUAAGACGAGGGAUCCUAGCGUUGUUCGGAAUUAUUGGGCGUAAAGCGGGUGUAGGUGGCUCUGUAAGUCAGGUGUGAAAGCCCAGGGCUCAACCCUGGAAGUGCAUUUGAUACUGCGGAGCUUGAGUGCUAGAGAGGUAAGUAGAAUUCCUGGUGUAGUGGUGAAAUACGUAGAUAUCAGGAGGAAUACCGGAGGCGAAGGCGGCUUACUGGCUAGACACUGACACUCAGACCCGAAAGCGUGGGGAUCAAACAGGAUUAGAUACCCUGGUAGUCCACGCUGUAAACGAUGGAUACUUGUUGUUGGAGGUAUUGACCCCUUCAGUGACGCAGCUAACGCGGUAAGUAUCCCGCCUGGGGAGUACGGUCGCAAGAUUAAAACUCAAAUGAAUUGACGG